GAUGAACGCUGGCGGCGUGCCUAAUACAUGCAAGUCGAGCGAACGGACGAGAAGCUUGCUUCUCUGAUGUUAGCGGCGGACGGGUGAGUAACACGUGGAUAACCUACCUAUAAGACUGGGAUAACUUCGGGAAACCGGAGCUAAUACCGGAUAAUAUUUUGAACCGCAUGGUUCAAAAGUGAAAGACGGUCUUGCUGUCACUUAUAGAUGGAUCCGCGCUGCAUUAGCUAGUUGGUAAGGUAACGGCUUACCAAGGCAACGAUGCAUAGCCGACCUGAGAGGGUGGUCGGCCACACUGGAACUGAGACACGGUCCAGACUCCUACGGGAGGCAGCAGUAGGGAAUCGUCCGCAAUGGGCGAAAGCCUGACGGAGCAACGCCGCGCGAGUGAUGAAGGUCUUCGGAUCGUAAAACUCUGUUAUUAGGGAAGAACAUAUGUGUAAGUAACUGUGCACAUCGUGACGGUACCUAAUCAGAAAGCCACGGCUAACUACGUG
Molecule: ribosomal RNA, 497 nt
Filed under: uncultured bacterium
Lineage: Bacteria
Description: partial 16S ribosomal RNA
Rfam family: Bacterial small subunit ribosomal RNA
Source: RNAcentral